Molecule: long non-coding RNA, 575 nt
Organism: Helianthus annuus (common sunflower)
Lineage: Eukaryota; Viridiplantae; Streptophyta; Magnoliopsida; Asterales; Asteraceae
Exons: 2
Source: RefSeq, a predicted model, not a curated record
AGUAGUUCUGGCUUCAUUUUCAAAAUUCAAACCAUAAUUUCAAACCUGCCUCUCUCUCUCUCAUAUAAAUUUAGCUAUAUUGGAUGUGUUCUGUUUUCUAGAGCUUCUAAGAAGAGGAGGAGGUCUUCCCCAAAUUCAACUUCAUCUCUAAUUUCCAGAUCUACAACUAGAUUUCACUCAAAUUCCAACAAUUUCAACACCACAACCUAUCAAUUUUCGGUGGAAUCAUCUGUUUUUCAUAUCAGCAGCUGUUGUUCUCCUUUUCGUAGCUUAAUUUUCAACUUAUUAGUGUGUAUAUAUAUACACACGUCGUACAAAUCUUAUUUCGCACUUGUAUCUUAGCUGUGCAUCAAAACCCUAAAUACAACUAUACUAAAAUCUAUCAGAUUUCGAGGGGUUGUUAAUUCAUGUUUUGAUUAAAGAAGAAGAACGAAAGAGACAUUUUUUUGGUAAAUUAUUGUUUGAGUUUACUUUUUCGACCUAUUAAUUAAUGCAAAUGAAAUAUUAGACUGCUUGUAAUCUUAUUAUUCAUAUUAAUAGUUUCAUCUGCUUGUAACCUUAUUACUCACUAUAAA